CGUAUAUAUACUCUAGCAAAAAUACAACCUAUAAACAAAAAUAAACCGAAUAGAAGAAAAAUAAAAGGAAACACCUUCUCCACUCCUUCUUCCUACUUCCUUUCCCCUUUCCUUCUUC
Molecule: non-coding RNA, 118 nt
Filed under: Protocruzia adhaerens
Lineage: Eukaryota; Ciliophora; Spirotrichea
Source: RNAcentral